CCCUUAGAUGUUCUGGGCCGCACGCGCGCUACACUGAUGCAUUCCACGAGCCUAUCCUUGACCGACAGGUCCGGGUAAUCUUUGAAUCUGCAUCGUGACGGGGAUAGAUUAUUGCAAUUAUUAAUCUUCAACGAGGAAUGCCUAGUAGGCGCAAGUCAUCAGCUUGCGUCGAUUACGUCCCUGCCCUUUGUACACACCGCCCGUCGCUCCUACCGAUUGGGUGUGCUGGUGAAAUGUUCGGAUCGGCCGUUUGUCGCGGUUUCCGCGGCUCGUGGCUGAGAAGUUCAUUAAACCCUCCCACCUAGAGGAAGGAGAAGUCGUAACA
RNAcentral lists this ribosomal RNA (325 nucleotides) under uncultured eukaryote. RNAcentral's name for it is "partial 18S ribosomal RNA". It matches the Rfam family "Eukaryotic small subunit ribosomal RNA", at positions 1470 to 1796 of the family's 1831-position model. The record is from RNAcentral.